CAUUUGCUCUCUCCUAGCCAAAGACAGGUCCAGGACCACAGGCCCCUCCCGAGCUGGCCCCUGUACUGUUUUUUCUCUUUUUCAGUGGGGCCUAAGAUGGGACUAGGAUGCUCUCAGCAUGUUUGGCGAACUGUUGGUGUCGUGGGCUCGCAUGUGCGAAGUAGAGGUCAUCGACUUUAGGCCAUCACAUAUAAGACAAAGGAAGGACGUCAGAGCCUGAGGUGUCUAUCAAGAACACAAGUGACCUUUGUCCAGGGAGCUGGCUCAGGCGGCGAUGAGAGUACCAACUGCUGCGGAUGGUUACCCGGCAGGAAGACGCUUGGAGGAAGCGGUACCUGCGUCAGGGAAACCUAAACCAAGACACCAUGAAUAAGGAAUGGUCUUUGUCCUUGAUAAGUUCACAUACAAAGGUGUGGGAAGACAUAAACUGGCUUGGUACAAUUUGGAAUUCCUGGGAAUCACUGGUGUCGGGUCUCAGGGCAGAUGGAGGCGUUUGUUUUGCUGGUUGCCCUUUGCAGUACCACCAAGGACGCCUUGAGGAAGCACGUGAGCGGAUGCACUGGGGGAAGGCCUGGUGACCCGGCCCGAGGCCUUUGCUUCCGCACAGGGGGGCCUGAGUGUGCUACCCCCAGGGGACUGAUUUGCUACACAAAUUCCUCCUGCUUUCCACCUCCCCAAACAAUCCUGAAAUAGGAAUAUGGAGCUUAAAGCUUGUGUCAUAUAAGAUAAAGCUCUUGCUCACGCUCUUGGGGAGUGUCAGAUGCUUGCAAAGGGCUUGCUAAGGGUCUCUGCAGGCCUGUUAGGACCAAUGUGCUUUCCCAGGCGUGCGGCCCAGUGCCGUGUGAUGGAUGCCCAGCUUCACGCCUGCAGCGUGGCAGGAUUAAUCCACCUCUUCCAUUGCCUUUGCUGUGCGCCUCAGUUCCCACCCCUGUCCUCCCACAUUCUCCUCCCACUGCCAUCAUCGUCAGCCCUCCUAGAGUGCCCCCAAACACACAUACAGUCCCCAUGAAAACACUGCGCAUGGUGAGAAAAUAUUCUUCAAGCCGGAGUUCCCAGCCCUCCAGCCAGGCGCUGCACGUACAGAAAUUCUGGAAUUGCCACUCAGCGGACCCGACUGCUGCUUUCCCGGUCACCCUCACAGAUCAUUCUUAGGGGACAAGGCACCCAGCUUCUCUUUCCCUACAUUCCAGCUUGGGAAGAAUGAAGCCUACGGUACAAGAGCAUUGUUUCAAUAAUAUUAUUAACCUUCGCAGCAUUACUCAGGACUCAAAAAAAUCACUGGCUACAAACAGCCAUUAGCUCUGCCUCUGGACAACAGGAUCACGUCUGUGAAAAGGACCCAAUUCAGAGACCUCAGGAUGGAGCUAAGAGAUGAAAAGGAAAGCUUGGUGGUGCUUUGGAAGACCCGUAGUCUCAACGUCCACUUCCUAUUUUACACUCUCAAGGCCAUAAAAAUGCCUUUGACCUCAUA
Molecule: non-coding RNA, 1471 nt
Organism: Microcebus murinus (gray mouse lemur)
Lineage: Eukaryota; Metazoa; Chordata; Mammalia; Primates; Cheirogaleidae
Source: RefSeq, a predicted model, not a curated record